This 565-nucleotide long non-coding RNA is filed under the name Pongo abelii (Sumatran orangutan). Its description in RNAcentral is "lincRNA". The record is from RNAcentral. Lineage: Eukaryota; Metazoa; Chordata; Mammalia; Primates; Hominidae.
GGAUGGAGGAGAGCCUGACAGAGGAGAAAAUCAGUGUCAACGUGGUGCUGAGAAGCUAAGCAACAUGUUAAGAACAAAAGCUUCAUCACCUGGAUCAACUCAGUAGAUAGGUGAGAUAAAUGAGAUAAACCUUAAUAAAGGCAAUUAAAUGAAAGGAUAUUUUCAAGGAAUAAUGAGAGAGGAGAAAUUCAAGACAGACCAUAAGUAUAGAUUUUUCAAGGAAUAAUGAGAGAGGAGAAAUUCAAGACAGACCGCUUCCGAGGCGAUCGGGCAGUGUCAGUCUUCAGCUGCUAAGCCAAGAAGAUCUGGGAAGGAGUCAGUCAGAGAGCCUUGGGCCAGAGUUCCAGGGGCUCUGGAAGUAGCUGCCAGUCUAGAGUAUAAAGAAGAGGAUGAAGGCUUAAGCAGGAAACUUUGACAGCUCCAAAGAUCUUAAUCCUUAUAAAGAAGUAAUUAAGUUUCAACUCUGCACUCAGAUUUUCAAGAAAUCUUUGCAACUUUAACAUAGUAUUUUGAGGAGUAAAAGUGACACCUGGAAAAAGCCAUCCAUGAGAACUAACUCCCCACA